This is a long non-coding RNA of Herpailurus yagouaroundi (jaguarundi), 1473 nucleotides long. RefSeq lists it as uncharacterized. The record is from RefSeq and is a predicted model, not a curated record. The transcript has 2 exons. Lineage: Eukaryota; Metazoa; Chordata; Mammalia; Carnivora; Felidae.
AUGUUGGAAUCUUUAGGGAGGUGUGUGUGUGUGUGUGUGUGUGUGUGUGUGUGUGUCACAAAAGUAGAAUCGAAAAACAGAAGAUCUACCUUUUUUUUUUUUAAUCUGGAUAGUUUUGGGCAAGCUACAACUUCUGUGAGCCUCAGUUGUCUCAUUUUUCAAAUUGUAAUGCUAGAACCUUUCCAAAGCAUAAGCUUGUUGUAAGGAGCCAAUAACAUAAAAUCAGUGACAAGACUUUUUAAACUAUAAAACGUACACAUGUUAAUAGUUACUAUUCAAAGUUCUCCAACAGGCAAAGGCAAUUCUUGAUUCCAGAAGUUAUGGUCUGAUUUACUUUCAGAACAAAUGGAAAUUGGGUAUGGAAGGAAACCUUCCUGUAAGAAAUACAGAAUAUAGCUUUGCCCUGACUUUCUCAUCUUCCUUAGCAAAAUGUGCAAAUUUUCCUAACUGACCACAUGUUUAGAGAUUAGGACAAGAGAGAAUAUAGUUCUUUUCGUACUGUUUUAAUAUUGAAUAAGCCGUAUUUAUGGUACCUAGCUUUAGGGAAAAGAAAAAAAAAAGAGCAAGAGAGAAAUGGUAUAUCUGCCCACCACCACCUGCUAUUUUUAGGUUGGAUAGGAAGCCCUGUUUGGCUGCCUUUGCCCAUCUCAUUUGGCAACUCUUGAGCCUGCAUCAUUCAGAGAGAUAUAAGAAGCUUAAAAGGUAGAAAACUGAAUUUCUUUGAUUUUCCAGACGUCAUUGCUGAAAAAACAUUAUCACCACAAAGCAGUUUGAAGGACAUUAGCUACACUCAUACCUGCUUCAUAACUGCAGCUGGCUGUAAACCUGAACACUGAUGCUUGACCUAUUGUAAGUCAGAAAGUUAUAUGUGGAUAAAAGCGGCUUUGCAUUUUAACCUCUUUCCUAUCUUUACUUAAAAAAAAAAAAAGAAAUUUAACUCAUAAAUGGGUAGAGGCAUAAAAGCCUUUUUGUGUCUGUAAGCAAAUGUCUGACCUUGUUCUGAAUUGAUAAACUACAUAGGCCUAGCUUUACUACUUCAAACUCCCAGAAUUCCUGUAGUGGUGCUGGUGGAUAGUCAAUAAAUCAUUGCUAUUGUUGUUGAUGAUGAAUAUAGGUAAUAAAAGAGUGUGGAGAUGCAUUUUUUCCUGUUGUGGCUUGAUAUAAAAAAAUUUCCUUUUCAAACCAUUGUAAGGAGAUAUCUGUUAUUUGUAAGUCUAACCACAGUGGGUCAUUUAUGCAUCCUCUUAUAAUUUAAUCUGGAUACAAUAGUUUUAUGUUCACGUGGAAACAAAUCAGAGAGAAGUGAUAAGACUGCAUUUGGAAUUACUGGCAACUUUAAAUGUUAAAAAAAAUGUAGUCACAAAGGCAAGAGAACAAAAGGCCUCCUCCUGGCUGAUUAGAUGAUUUAACCAGCAGUUGGUGCUGGCACCUAAAAGCCAGCCAGACUGUUUAAAAAAAAAAAAAAAAAAAAAA